AGGACGAACGCUGGCGGCGUGCUUAACACAUGCAAGUCACGGGGGCUCGCAAGAGCAACCGGCGAACGGGUGCGUAACACGUGAGCAACCUACCGAUUUGUGGGGGAUAGCCGGCCUAACGGCCGGGUAAUACCGCAUACGCUUUCCGGGUCUCCUGACCUGGGAAGGAAACCUCCGGGGCAAAUCGAGGGGCUCGCGGCCUAUCAGCUAGUUGCGAGGUCACGGCUCACCAAGGCGACGACGGGUAGCUGGUCUGAGAGGACACGA
RNAcentral lists this ribosomal RNA (267 nucleotides) under uncultured soil bacterium. Its description in RNAcentral is "partial 16S ribosomal RNA". It matches the Rfam family "Bacterial small subunit ribosomal RNA", at positions 26 to 303 of the family's 1533-position model. The record is from RNAcentral.